This 253-nucleotide ribosomal RNA is filed under the name uncultured bacterium. RNAcentral's name for it is "partial 16S ribosomal RNA". It matches the Rfam family "Bacterial small subunit ribosomal RNA", at positions 524 to 776 of the family's 1533-position model. The record is from RNAcentral.
GACGAACCGUGCGAACGUUAUUCGGAAUCACUGGGCUUAAAGCGCGUGUAGGCGGGACGGCACGUCGGUCGCUGAAAGCCCCCGGCUCAACCGGGAACGGGCGCCGAUACGACCGCCCUGGAGGGACGUAGGGGGACCUGGAACUUCCGGUGGAGCGGUGAAAUGCGUUGAGAUCGGAAGGAACGCCCGUGGCGAAAGCGAGGUCCUGGACGUUUUCUGACGCUGAGACGCGAAAGCCAGGGGAGCGAACGGG